CCAUGCUAGAAAGAAAAGCAGUGCAGUCAAGAGCAAUGCUAAAAAUGAUCCACGCCGAAUUGAUGUGGUAGCUAUAUGGAUGUACACUAUAACCUUCCUUCAACUUUUCUGCAUGUCUGAAAUUUGUCUUAAAAUGUUAGGGGUAAAAGUAAUACUGAGGAAAAAAGAUUUAUGUACAAAGAUAUUCAUGGCAGCAUUUAUCACUCAACAGCAGGGGAAAAACAGAAGUCACCUAAAUGUAUUAAGCAGAAAGAGUUUUAAAAAAGAAAACUACAGUAAGUACAUCCAUAAUUAUGCAACCAUUAAAAAAAUUCAGAUUUUUAAUAAACGGUUUUCUAUGUUAAGUUAAAACAAGAUAGAGGACCUCCCUGGUAGUCCAGGGAUUAAGACUGUGCUUCCGCUGCAGGGGCUCGGGUUUGAUCCCUGGUCCAGGAAGUUCCACAUGUCAUGCAGUGCAAUAAAAAAAAACCAAGAUAGAAAACAAUACUGAUCUAAACUAUGCACAUUUUCAAAAAGUCACCCAAAAUAGUUACCCUUGAGUAACAGGGUUAUGGAAAAUUUGGGUUUUUCCCAUCUUUUAUAAAUUCUUCCUUCUACAGUCAACACAUACAACCUUCAUCAUGAGAGGAAAAAAAAGCAGUGACAAAAAAGGACAUUCAGCUCACAUUUCAGGUUUAUCCAGAGGGCUCUUUAGACACAUGUCUGACCCUCAGGAGAAAGCAGACCAGCUGAAGCAUGAAGGGGUUAACCUGUGCUGAGGGUCUCCUGCAGGCCAGGCAUGCGCCAGGCACCAGUGCUUGUCAUUGAAUCACUGUAUGUCCCCUGGAGAGCUGCAAUAACUAGUUUUACAUGUUAGGAAGCUGAUGCUAGGCAUUACCUGAAACAUGAUUCCUGUCUUUAAUAAGCUUACAGUAGAACUACUAAGGGAAGAUGAAAAAAAAAAAAGAUAUUUAACUGUCUGGCACAA
Molecule: long non-coding RNA, 967 nt
Organism: Bubalus bubalis (water buffalo)
Lineage: Eukaryota; Metazoa; Chordata; Mammalia; Artiodactyla; Bovidae
Exons: 2
Source: RefSeq, a predicted model, not a curated record